This is a long non-coding RNA of Gadus macrocephalus (Pacific cod), 420 nucleotides long. RefSeq lists it as uncharacterized. The transcript is spliced from 3 exons. NCBI's taxonomy places the organism in Eukaryota, Metazoa, Chordata, Actinopteri, Gadiformes, Gadidae. The record is from RefSeq and is a predicted model, not a curated record.
UUAAAUUAGGUUUCCCUGUCUAACGUCAUGACGUAGACGUUUAUUUGUUGAACGUCAACGUCUUUUCCAGCCAGAUUUCUGUAGCUGAAGCUGACAUUUUUUCUCCUCGUCAAUCUCAUCAUCCACGCGGUCAAGGUCACUCUGAAAAACGCCCUGGACACAACUCAUCAAACUACCCAAAGACUGCCAUGGCUCAUUCCACAACUGCCAGACUUAAAGUGAUUUUGGGGGACAACAACAUUGAAAAACUGACACUUCCCAAUGGAAUACCAGAGUCACUAGAUGACCUCAUCGGCACGAUAAGGAGUACGUUCGGAUUAAAGUGCAGCUUGAAACUGCAGUACAUGGACCAAGAUUUUGGCAAUGACUUUUUCAAUCUGAACUCUAAUGCUGAACUCCAGGAUUUGGGGACAAUCAAGG